AUGUCAUUUGGGUUUUCCAGUCGAGGGGAGGGGAGAACUGCUGGGCGACAUCCACUCUGCUCACUCGUUUUCGAGACUACCGCACACCGCCGCGUCCACACAGCAUCAACUUCACAACAUAUCGGAAAUCCGGAGGAGGGAGGGUGUUGUUGGACAUAUCGACGUCUAACAGCUGCCCAACAAGCCAAAGGAACACAAGCAGCCUCUCUGAGCCGUGCUGGAGUGAUUGGUCCAGUUUCUGUCCAUCCUCUGAACCCAGUGGCUAUCAGCCAGUGAGCUGCGUGAGGUGUCUCGUAGCUGUGGAUUGCAUCAUUAUGAGACAAUAGCAGUGGGAAUCAAAACUCUCCUCCCUCCUCCUCCUCUUCCUCCAUCUCCUCCUCCAGUUCUUUUUCUCUCAGCCUGACUCUCCAUUGAAGCCCUCCCCCCUAACAAAUACACAGUCGUCCACACACACAUGAAACCCUCUGACCACUCCCCCCACGCUGGUCAUGGUCCACUCCCCCUGUCUCUCCAGCCAGUCAGGCAGUGAGCUGAUGGGAGCUGUGUAAUCCUCUGUAAAGUAUAGGGCCUAUACGGCUGUAUAUGCUCCCUUUUGUUAUGGCGGCUGUUAUUGUUGCAGAGGCCUCCCUCAGGAGAGAACAUGAGGGAGAACAGAAGGCAGCAUAAAGCUCACAAAGGGAGGAAGAGAGAGCGAGAGAGUGGCUGAGAGACACUGACGCUGCCAUUUAUUUGACCGGAUGAGAAUGAGCUUCACGGGGCAAUGGAUGGAAUUCAAUGGGGGUGAAACCACAUGAUGUGGGACUGGUAUUACCACCCCACGCCAGUCACAAAUUGGACCAACAGUCAACUUUGGAGAUAUUUGCCACAUAGUGACCUGCUGCAAGGAAUGCAGUGAAAUAGAGAAAAGUAGACAAGACUUUUUUUUUCCUGGUUCAGAAUAUUUUUCUAUUUUUUCUCUUGUUGUUGUUUUUCUUUUUAACUACACCUACCAAAAGUGCCUUUAAGUGAUGUUUUUGUCUAUUUUCAUUACUCGUCUAACUCUAUAUUCAUACCCCAUAAAUUAUUGCAUGCAUCUUUACAAACAGUAGCUGUCAUUGUCAGUGUGUGUUGCCAUAUUUUAGAGAAGGUCCAUAGUAUAUUAGACUUUUUUGUGUGCGUGACACCAGCCACAACACCAGCCUCCAUCAAAUCAAAUCCACAGCUGACAAUCGCCACCUUCCUGAAUUUUUUCUCUGCUCGGAGAGAGCUCACAUAGCCCCAGCGUUAAAUCACUGACAGUUAGACUGCUCCAGACCAACGUGACUUUCUGCACUGCCUCCUCCCGACGUCUGUUGCUUU
This 1338-nucleotide long non-coding RNA is filed under the name Sparus aurata (gilthead seabream). RNAcentral describes it as "lncRNA (ENSSAUG00010023615.1)". The record is from RNAcentral. Lineage: Eukaryota; Metazoa; Chordata; Actinopteri; Spariformes; Sparidae.